GAUACUAAAGAAGGUUUUCCCACUAUCCAUAUGCAUCUUCUAUAUUUUGAAAUUGCAACUAUGGACAGUUGUGGCUAAUCGUAGUUGAUUGUCUUCCCUUCUUUUAACAUCUUGGAUGAAUUUGGGGCACACUAAUGUGUUAAGUGAAGAUGGAUGUUGAAUUGUGUAGAAUUUGACAGCAGUAUCAAGAGCUGAGGAGGAGGAGAAGAUGGAAAGGAGUCUAGCGACUUAAAAAUCUCAUAGCAUUCUCUGUGAGGUGACCUUUUUCCUGAUGGUGGCUCAAUUUAUUUAGGUGAUAAAGAAGAUACUAAGACCUGUGGCAGUAUCACCAUGUCAUAUCUGAGCUUACUGCAGUAUUCCCUCCAUUUCCUUAUUUAUACCACAGUGUGAUUUUCAUGUUUGUAAGUUGGCUCAUUUGCUCUCUGUUCAUAUGUGAAAUGCCAUACGGCCACCGUAAGUCCUAACAAAAUUACUUCUAAUGAGGAGGGGGAUGGUCUGUGGCCCAUUUUCCCAUUUAAUUUUGGUCUGUUUGCAAAACUACCCCCACUGAAGAGAGGUAGCUAUGUUCUGAAAAGAAAAGGUUGAUAAAAAACCUUUAGCAUGGUGUUUUAUGACUUAAAAGUUUUAAAUACCAGUUUUUAUAUCUAAGCUUUUAUUAAUUUUGGUAAGAAAAUUACUGUGUCUUUUUUAUGUCACUUUUACUGUUAAGAGAUGCCAGGCAUUUGGUGGCCUGACACUUUAGGAUUUGUGUGAAUCAAACCUAUCUAAUCAUGACAUAAAUUAGAGACUGGUACUUAUAUUUCCUAAUUAAAAAUAAACUAACUAACUUAUAUUUUACUAUUGAAAUAAGAGUACUUUAUAAUGAAUACAUAAAAUGUGUAUUAAAUAUCCAGUACAGCAUGUUAAAAUUAACAUUUCUAUUUUUAUUGUAGUAACUUAUUUUAUGGGAUUGUAAUGUCUCCCUGACAUAUUUAAACGGCUUUUAAAGA
Long non-coding RNA from Galeopterus variegatus (Sunda flying lemur), 989 nucleotides. RefSeq lists it as uncharacterized. The record is from RefSeq and is a predicted model, not a curated record. The transcript has 2 exons. NCBI's taxonomy places the organism in Eukaryota, Metazoa, Chordata, Mammalia, Dermoptera, Cynocephalidae.